GACGAACGCUGGCGGCGUGCCUAAUACAUGCAAGUAGAACGCUGAAGGAGGAGCUUGCUUCUCUGGAUGAGUUGCGAACGGGUGAGUAACGCGUAGGUAACCUGCCUGGUAGCGGUGGAUAACUAUUGGAAACGAUAGCUAAUACCGCAUAAUAGUAGAUGUUGCAUGACAUUUGCUUAAAAGGUGCAAUUGCAUCACUACCAGAUGGACCUGCGUUGUAUUAGCUAGUUGGUGGGGUAACGGCUCACCAAGGCGACGAUACAUAGCCGACCUGAGAGGGUGAUCGGCCACACUGGGACUGAGACACGGCCCAGACUCCUACGGGAGGCAGCAGUAGGGAAUCUUCGGCAAUGGACGGAAGUCUGACCGAGCAACGCCGCGUGAGUGAAGAAGGUUUUCGGAUCGUAAAGCUCUGUUGUAAGAGAAGAACGAGUGUGAGAGUGGAAAGUUCACACUGUGACGGUAUCUUACCAGAAAGGGACGGCUAACUACGUG
Molecule: ribosomal RNA, 495 nt
Filed under: uncultured bacterium
Lineage: Bacteria
Description: partial 16S ribosomal RNA
Rfam family: Bacterial small subunit ribosomal RNA
Source: RNAcentral